Molecule: ribosomal RNA, 231 nt
Filed under: uncultured bacterium
Lineage: Bacteria
Description: partial 16S ribosomal RNA
Rfam family: Bacterial small subunit ribosomal RNA
Source: RNAcentral
UACGUAGGGACCGAGCGUUUGUCCGGAAUCAUUGGGCGUAAAGAGCGUGUAGGCGGCCACUUAAGUCCUGCGUGAAAUCUUGCGGCUCAACCGCAAGCGGUCGUGGGAAACUGGGUGGCUAGAGUGCGGGAGAGGAGAGUGGAAUUCCUGGUGUAGCGGUGGAAUGCGCGAUAUCAGGAAGAACACCCGUGGCGAAGGCGGCUCUCUGGAACGCAACUGACGGCUGAGACG